This 548-nucleotide ribosomal RNA is filed under the name uncultured bacterium. Its description in RNAcentral is "bacterial SSU rRNA". It matches the Rfam family "Bacterial small subunit ribosomal RNA", at positions 355 to 896 of the family's 1533-position model. The record is from RNAcentral.
UGGGGAAUUUUGGACAAUGGGCGCAAGCCUGAUCCAGCAAUGCCGCGUGAGUGAAGAAGGCCUUCGGGUUGUAAAGCUCUUUUGUCAGGGAAGAAACGGCUGAGGCUAAUAUCCUCGGCUAAUGACGGUACCUGAAGAAUAAGCACCGGCUAACUACGUGCCAGCAGCCGCGGUAAUACGUAGGGUGCAAGCGUUAAUCGGAAUUACUGGGCGUAAAGCGUGCGCAGGCGGUUUUGUAAGUCUGACGUGAAAUCCCCGGGCUCAACCUGGGAAUUGCGUUGGAGACUGCAAGGCUGGAGUCUGGCAGAGGGGGGUAGAAUUCCACGUGUAGCAGUGAAAUGCGUAGAGAUGUGGAGGAACACCGAUGGCGAAGGCAGCCCCCUGGGUCAAGACUGACGCUCAUGCACGAAAGCGUGGGGAGCAAACAGGAUUAGAUACCCUGGUAGUCCACGCCCUAAACGAUGUCUACUAGUUGUCGGGUCUUAAUUGACUUGGUAACGCAGCUAACGCGUGAAGUAGACCGCCUGGGGAGUACGGUCGCAAGAUUA